RNAcentral lists this ribosomal RNA (253 nucleotides) under uncultured prokaryote. RNAcentral describes it as "partial 16S ribosomal RNA". It matches the Rfam family "Bacterial small subunit ribosomal RNA", at positions 525 to 777 of the family's 1533-position model. The record is from RNAcentral.
CCUUCUUUUUCGCGCUUUCCUCGGAAUUACUGGGCGUAAAGCGUGCGCAGGCGGUUUCGUAAGUCUGUCGUGAAAUCCCCGGGCUUAACCUGGGAAUGGCGAUGGAGACUGCGAGGCUAGAGUUUGGCAGAGGGGGGUAGAAUUCCACGUGUAGCAGUGAAAUGCGUAGAGAUGUGGAGGAACACCGAUGGCGAAGGCAGCCCCCUGGGUCAAAACUGACGCUCAUACACGAAAGCGUGGGGAGCAAACAGGA